This 253-nucleotide ribosomal RNA is filed under the name uncultured bacterium. RNAcentral describes it as "partial 16S ribosomal RNA". It matches the Rfam family "Bacterial small subunit ribosomal RNA", at positions 524 to 776 of the family's 1533-position model. The record is from RNAcentral.
UACGGAGGGUGCGAGCGUUGUCCGGAAUUAUUGGGCGUAAAGAGCUCGUAGGCGGUUUGUCACGUCUGCUGUGAAAUCCCGAGGCUCAACCUCGGGUCUGCAGUGGGUACGGGCAGACUGGAGUGCGGUAGGGGAGAAUGGAAUUCCUGGUGUAGCGGUGGAAUGCGCAGAUAUCAGGAGGAACACCGAUGGCGAAGGCAGUUCUCUGGGCCGUAACUGACGCUGAGGCGCGAAAGCGUGGGGAGCAAACAGG